RNAcentral lists this long non-coding RNA (1021 nucleotides) under Zonotrichia albicollis (white-throated sparrow). Its description in RNAcentral is "lncRNA (ENSZALG00000001473.1)". Lineage: Eukaryota; Metazoa; Chordata; Aves; Passeriformes; Passerellidae. The record is from RNAcentral.
CAGUUGGGCUGACACCCCNGCGACGGGGAAAGCGAGGAGAAAACGGCAACCAUGGGGGAGUAAUACAAUUUAAAAAAAAUGCAGGGGAGGGGGUGGUAAAAGAGCAGUUGGAACAAUUCCUUCAUGUGGGGAAUUCCUACAGGGGGUCCCCAGCCCUAUCGCCAGAGCCACGUGUGUCCCUGUCCCCCUGCACAUGUCCCCUGUCCCCAGCUCUGUUCCUAUAGAACCCAGCUCUGACCCCCAUCCCUGGUCCCUCCAGCCCCAUCGCCGCUCCAUUCCCAACUCCUGUCCCCAUACUCACACCUCUGACCCCAUUCCUGAAGCUCCAGCCCACGUCCCUCUCAUCCCCAUCGGCUGUCCCCUCCUGUCCCCAUCCCCAUCCCUGCUCCAUCCUGGGACCUUCUGGGGUCACGAGCCUCUGGGUGCCCCAGCUGUCCCGUCCUGCUUUGUCCCUUUGUCCCCCUUCCCCUCUGCAUUCCCGUCUAUUCCCUCUUUCCUUCUCCCCUCUCCAGCUCUUUCCUUCUCCCCUCUCCAGCCCUUUCCCUAUUCAUCCUCUUCCCCUUCCCAGCCCCUUCCUCCUCCUUUUCCUGCUGUCCAUCCCUUUUCCCCCUCUUUCUCCUUCCCCUUUCCCUCCUAUUUCCUCUCUCUUCUCCUUUCCUUUUCCCUCCUUUCCCUCUCCCCACUCUUCUCUUUCCUUUUCCCCACACUGGUCCCUGUCCCCUCUCUCCCCUCCUUCCUCCAGCUCUCAGCCUCCUCAUCUUCCUCCCUUCGUAACUUUUUCUUCAAUUUUUCUUCCAUUUCCUUAUUUAAUUUUCUUUCCUCUUCCCUCCCUUUUCAUUUCCUUUUUAACCUUUCCUUUCCCCUUUCCUCCCUUUUCCUUUCUUCAUCUCUUUUCUUUCUCUCCUUUUCUCUCUACCUUUUUUCCCUCUUCCAAUUCCUUGUUCUUUUCCCCCUUUCCCUUCUCUCCCCCGCCUUUCUCUUCUCUCCCCCCUUUCUCUUUCUUUUCCNNNNNNNNNNNNNN